GCAGCCGCGGUAAUACGUAGGGGGCGAGCGUUGUCCGGAAUGAUUGGGCGUAAAGGGCGCGUAGGCGGCUUGUUAAGCCUGGAGUGAAAGUCCUGCUUUCAAGGUGGGAAUUGCUUUGGGAACUGAUGAGCUCGAGUGCAGGAGAGGAAAGCGGAAUUACCGGUGUAGCGGUGAAAUGCGUAGAGAUCGGUAGGAACACCAGUGGCGAAGGCGGCUUUCUGGACUGAAACUGACGCUGAGGCGCGAAAGCGUGGGGAGCAAACAGGAUUAGAUACCCC
Molecule: ribosomal RNA, 278 nt
Filed under: uncultured Christensenellaceae bacterium
Lineage: Bacteria; Bacillati; Bacillota; Clostridia; Christensenellales; Christensenellaceae
Description: partial 16S ribosomal RNA
Rfam family: Bacterial small subunit ribosomal RNA
Source: RNAcentral